CAAGUCGAGGGGCAGCACGAAAAAGCUUGCUUUUUUGGUGGCGACCGGCGCACGGGUGCGUAACGCGUAUGCAACCUACCCUGUACUGGAGGAUAGCCCGAAGAAAUUCGGAUUAAUACUCCAUAGUAAUUAGAGAUCGCAUGAUUUUUAAUUUAAAGGUUACGGUACAGGAUGGGCAUGCGUCCCAUUAGCUAGAUGGUAAGGUAACGGCUUACCAUGGCGACGAUGGGUAGGGGGCCUGAGAGGGUGAUCCCCCACACUGGUACUGAGACACGGACCAGACUCC
Molecule: ribosomal RNA, 286 nt
Filed under: uncultured bacterium
Lineage: Bacteria
Description: partial 16S ribosomal RNA
Rfam family: Bacterial small subunit ribosomal RNA
Source: RNAcentral